UGGUCAAGUUAUUAAGGGUGCAGGGCGGAUGCCUUGGCACUAGGGGCCGAUGAAGGACGUGAUAAGCUGCGAUAAGCUUCGGGGAGUUGCACGUAAACUUUGAUCCGAAGAUUUCCGAAUGAGGAAACUCACUUAGAGUAAUGUCUAAGUAUCAUUAAGUGAAUACAUAGCUUAAUGAGGGGAACUCAGGGAACUGAAACAUCUAAGUACCUGAAGGAAGAGAAAGAAANUCGAUUCCGUAGNGNGNGGNGNGCGAACGCGGAUGCGCCCAAACCAAUACAGUNUUCUUUAUUGGCGUUGCGGACAUAACAUAACGAAGAGGUAUCGUAAUUGCAGAGGCUUGGAAAGCCCCUCCACAGAAGGUAAUAGUCCUGUAUGUUAAUCGAGAAGACUU
Molecule: ribosomal RNA, 394 nt
Filed under: Clostridioides difficile
Lineage: Bacteria; Bacillati; Bacillota; Clostridia; Peptostreptococcales; Peptostreptococcaceae
Description: bacterial LSU rRNA
Rfam family: Bacterial large subunit ribosomal RNA
Source: RNAcentral